This 439-nucleotide ribosomal RNA is filed under the name uncultured Hyphomicrobiaceae bacterium. Its description in RNAcentral is "partial 16S ribosomal RNA". It matches the Rfam family "Bacterial small subunit ribosomal RNA", at positions 338 to 794 of the family's 1533-position model. The record is from RNAcentral. Lineage: Bacteria; Pseudomonadati; Pseudomonadota; Alphaproteobacteria; Hyphomicrobiales; Hyphomicrobiaceae.
CCUACGGGAGGCAGCAGUGGGGAAUAUUGGACAAUGGGCGCAAGCCUGAUCCAGCCAUGCCGCGUGGGUGAUGAAGGCCCUAGGGUUGUAAAGCCCUUUCGGCGGGGAAGAUAAUGACGGUACCCGCAGAAGAAGCCCCGGCUAACUUCGUGCCAGCAGCCGCGGUAAUACGAAGGGGGCUAGCGUUGCUCGGAAUCACUGGGCGUAAAGCGCACGUAGGCGGUUUGUUAAGUCGGAGGGGAAAUCCUGGAGCUCAACUCCAGAACUGCCUUCGAUACUGGCGAGCUCGAGUCCGGGAGAGGUGAGUGGAACUGCGAGUGUAGAGGUAAAAUUCGUAGAUAUUCGCAAGAACACCAGUGGCGAAGGCGGCUCACUGGCCCGGUACUGACGCUGAGGUGCGAAAGCGUGGGGAGCAAACAGGAUUAGAUCCCCCGGUAGU